GAAAUAAAACGCCCUGUGUACUAGUGUUAUAAAGGAUAUGUUAAUAUCUUUUAAUGGAACUAGAAACAUAGCUAACUUUCUCUUGAGACCGCAUAGAAAAUUUGGAAUUCUUUCUGAGUUGGUUGACUCUGUGAAUACAGAUGUGGAAAUUGAUAUGGAGGGCCAACUGUAUGUAUACAAUGAAGCAUCCUCGCUAACCUUCCAUGGUUUACCAGAAUUGUAUGAGGAUGGAAUCAUCUUCCCAUUCUCAUGGUAUGGACAGUACUCAAUGGCUCAUUCUGACAAACAGAACAUUGUGCAAUAUCAAGACAGCAUGAAACAUCUGAAAAUAAGACCUUUGGGGACUGGAGAGAUAGCUCAGCCCUUAAGAGCAGAGGACCCUGC
This is a long non-coding RNA of Nannospalax galili (Upper Galilee mountains blind mole rat), 384 nucleotides long. RefSeq lists it as uncharacterized. The transcript is spliced from 3 exons. The record is from RefSeq and is a predicted model, not a curated record. Lineage: Eukaryota; Metazoa; Chordata; Mammalia; Rodentia; Spalacidae.